Molecule: ribosomal RNA, 442 nt
Filed under: uncultured bacterium
Lineage: Bacteria
Description: partial 16S ribosomal RNA
Rfam family: Bacterial small subunit ribosomal RNA
Source: RNAcentral
CCUACGGGCGGCAGCAGUGGGGAAUAUUGCGCAAUGGGCGCAAGCCUGACCCAGCAACGCCGCGUGAAGGAAGAAGGAUUUCGGGUUGUAAACCUCUAUUAUGGGGGACGAACAAAUGACGGUACUCCAGGAAUAACCCACGGCUAACUACGUGCCAGCAGCCGCGGUAAUACGUAGGUGGCAAGCGUUAUCCGGAUUUCUUGGGUGGAAAGGGCGUGUAGGCGGGAAUGCAAGUCAGAUGUGAAAACUAAGGGCUCAACCCAUAGCCUGCAUUUGAAACUGUAUUUCUUGAGUGCUGGAGAGGCAAUCGGAAUUCCGGGUGUAGCGGUGAAAUGCGUAGAUAUACGGAGGAACACCAGUGGCGAAGGCGGAUUGCUGGACAGUAACUGACGCUGAGGCGCGAAAGCGUGGGGAGCAAACAGGAUUAGAUACCCCUGUAGUC